This 447-nucleotide ribosomal RNA is filed under the name uncultured bacterium. Its description in RNAcentral is "partial 16S ribosomal RNA". It matches the Rfam family "Bacterial small subunit ribosomal RNA", at positions 29 to 507 of the family's 1533-position model. The record is from RNAcentral.
AACGAACGCUGGCGGCAUGCCUAACACAUGCAAGUCGAACGAUGCCUUCGGGCAUAGUGGCGCACGGGUGCGUAACGCGUGGGAAUCUGCCCUUGGCUUCGGAAUAACAGUUAGAAAUGACUGCUAAUACCGGAUGAUGUCCCCCUGAGAGAUCUUGGGGACCAAAGAUUUAUCGGCCAGGGAUGAGCCCGCGUAGGAUUAGGUAGUUGGUGGGGUAAAGGCCUACCAAGCCGACGAUCCUUAGCUGGUCUGAGAGGAUGAUCAGCCACACUGGGACUGAGACACGGCCCAGACUCCUACGGGAGGCAGCAGUGGGGAAUAUUGGAAAAUGGGGGGAACCCUGAUCCAGCAAUGCCGCGUGAGUGAUGAAGGCCUUAGGGUUGUAAAGCUCUUUUAACAGGGAUGAUAAUGACAGUACCUGGAGAAUAAGCUCCGGCUAACUCCGUG